Molecule: ribosomal RNA, 253 nt
Filed under: uncultured bacterium
Lineage: Bacteria
Description: partial 16S ribosomal RNA
Rfam family: Bacterial small subunit ribosomal RNA
Source: RNAcentral
UACGUAGGUGGCAAGCGUUGUCCGGAUUUAUUGGGUUUAAAGGGUGCGUAGGCGGCUUAUUAAGUCAGUGGUGAAAUACUUUAGCUCAACUAGAGGGGUGCCAUUGAUACUGAUGAGCUUGAGUACAGAUGAGGUAGGCGGAAUUGACGGUGUAGCGGUGAAAUGCUUAGAUAUCGUCAAGAACACCUAUAGCGAAGGCAGCUUACUAGGCUGUAACUGACGCUGAGGCACGAAAGUGUGGGGAUCAAACAGG